GUGUGUGUGUGUGUGUGUGUGUGUGUGUGUGUGUAGGGUGUGAUUAUCAAAGAACUACAAGACAAACCGCUUUUUAAACCCUGUUGUGUAGUUCACGUGUCUUGCCUUGACUAAUAAAUUGACUAACUGGGCCUUUA
Molecule: long non-coding RNA, 137 nt
Organism: Dipodomys spectabilis (banner-tailed kangaroo rat)
Lineage: Eukaryota; Metazoa; Chordata; Mammalia; Rodentia; Heteromyidae
Exons: 2
Source: RefSeq, a predicted model, not a curated record